UACGAAGUGGGCUAGCGUUGCUCGGAAUCACUGGGCGUAAAGGGUGCGUAGGCGGGUCUUUAAGUCAGGGGUGAAAUCCUGGAGCUCAACUCCAGAACUGCCUUUGAUACUGAAGAUCUUGAGUUCGGGAGAGGUGAGUGGAACUGCGAGUGUAGAGGUGAAAUUCGUAGAUAUUCGCAAGAACACCAGUGGCGAAGGCGGCUCACUGGCCCGAUACUGACGCUGAGGCACGAAAGCGUGGGGAGCAAACAGG
RNAcentral lists this ribosomal RNA (253 nucleotides) under uncultured bacterium. Its description in RNAcentral is "partial 16S ribosomal RNA". It matches the Rfam family "Bacterial small subunit ribosomal RNA", at positions 524 to 776 of the family's 1533-position model. The record is from RNAcentral.